GCUGGCGGCAUGCCUAACACAUGCAAGUCGAACGCGAAAGUCCCUUCGGGGGCGAGUAGAGUGGCGGACGGGUGAGUAACGCGUAGGAAUCUGCCUGGUAGUGGGGGACAACUCGGGGAAACUCGAGCUAAUACCGCAUACGCCCUACGGGGGAAAGCGGGGGAUCUUUCGGGACCUCGCGCUAUCAGAUGAGCCUGCGUCGGAUUAGCUUGUUGGUAGGGUAAUGGCCUACCAAGGCAACGAUCCGUAGCUGGUCUGAGAGGACGAUCAGCCACACUGGGACUGAGACACGGCCCAGACUCCUACGGGAGGCAGCAGUGGGGAAUAUUGCACAAUGGGCGAAAGCCUGAUGCAGCAAUGCCGCGUGUGUGAAGAAGGCCUGCGGGUUGUAAAGCACUUUCAGGAGGGAAGAAAAGCUUGGGGCUAAUACCCCCGGGUCUUGACGUUACCUCCAGAAGAAGCACCGGCUAACUCCGUGCCAGCAGCCGCGGUAAUACGGAGGGUCAA
RNAcentral lists this ribosomal RNA (507 nucleotides) under uncultured Ectothiorhodospiraceae bacterium. Its description in RNAcentral is "bacterial SSU rRNA". It matches the Rfam family "Bacterial small subunit ribosomal RNA", at positions 35 to 537 of the family's 1533-position model. Lineage: Bacteria; Pseudomonadati; Pseudomonadota; Gammaproteobacteria; Chromatiales; Ectothiorhodospiraceae. The record is from RNAcentral.